UCCCUUUUUUUCUGGAAAAAGGAAUUGGCUGGCAUAAAAGCAAGGAGCCUGUGGAUUUGGCAAGCGGAUAAACACAAAGAUUUCUCUUCGAUUUGCAGUAGAAUAUUGCAUUAUGAGAAACAUGAAUAGUAAUCUCACUUUCAUGCACCUUGGGAUGGCUUGCUGGAGACCACUCAAUUUUACUUCAAAAACCAACCAAAUAAAACCAAGGCAAACAAAAAACAAGGUGAUUUGCUCAUAACUGCUUUAGUAGGAAACAGAUCUCAGAAAAAUACUUUAAUUGCCUCCCAAAAAAAGGAAAACUCAAAUUUACAUGUGAGCCCACUUUUCACUGUAAUAGUUGACUAGCAUUGCAUGGAUCCAUUCAAAUAAGACAUAGCCACUUUUGGACAAGCUUUGGAGAAGCUUUCUGAUGCAAACUGAUAAAUCCCCCUCACCCUGAACAUGAUAUCAGACUUGAA
Corvus hawaiiensis (hawaiian crow) is the source of this 461-nucleotide long non-coding RNA. RefSeq lists it as uncharacterized. The transcript has 3 exons. NCBI's taxonomy places the organism in Eukaryota, Metazoa, Chordata, Aves, Passeriformes, Corvidae. The record is from RefSeq and is a predicted model, not a curated record.